RNAcentral lists this ribosomal RNA (468 nucleotides) under uncultured bacterium. RNAcentral describes it as "partial 16S ribosomal RNA". It matches the Rfam family "Bacterial small subunit ribosomal RNA", at positions 28 to 507 of the family's 1533-position model. The record is from RNAcentral.
GACGAACGCUGGCGGCGUGCUUAACACAUGCAAGUCGAACGGAAAGGCCCUGCUUUUGUGGGGUGCUCGAGUGGCGAACGGGUGAGUAGCACGUGAGUAACCUGCCCCUGACUUUGGGAUAACUUCAGGAAACGGGGGCUAAUCCCGGAUAGGAGCUCCUGCUGCAUGGUGGGGGUUGGAGAGUUUCGGCGGUUGGGGAUGGACUCGCGGCUUAUCAGCUUGUUGGUGGGGUAGUGGCUUACCAAGGCUUUGACGGGUAGCCGGCCUGAGAGGGUGACCGGCCACAUUGGGACUGAGAUACGGCCCGGACUCCUACGGGAGGCAGCAGUGGGGAAUAGUGCACAAUGGGCGGAAGCCUGAUGCAGCAACGCCGCGUGCGGGAUGACGGCCUUCGGGUUGUAAACCGCUUUCGCCUGUGACGAAGCGUGAGUGGCGGUAAUGGGUAAAGAAGCACCGGCUAACUACGUG